Molecule: small nucleolar RNA, 102 nt
Organism: Myotis lucifugus (little brown bat)
Lineage: Eukaryota; Metazoa; Chordata; Mammalia; Chiroptera; Vespertilionidae
Source: Ensembl
CCCCCGGAGGCAGAGGGAGAGGGCUCCGGCCCCCUCGGCGUCAUGUCUUCGGUGCCGAUGGUUGCCAGUCCGCCAGUUCUAUCCUCAAGCGCCGGGACACGG